GAAAAAGUUUUACAAUAGACAGCUACACAUCUCCCGUAUCACCUGGUACAUGCAGAGAUAGUAAUUGCUUGUUACAUGACAGAGCAAACCAGUUAUCAUUUUAUAGUUCUGCAGAAAAAUACAUUAGGAAAUAGGUGACGUAUACUCUUACGAUAAAAGUAAUGUUUUAUAGGAUAGCAAUUUUUCUAUUUGUUCUGUUUUUCCAGGCUUGUACCACAGCCAAUAUCUCUGCUUGGCAACUCUAAUGAACAAAUUGCCACAAAAGUGAGACAGAACACACCUUUUUGGACCUGUCUCAAAAUCAGAUUUGCAAAGAGAAGAGAACCAACGUCUCCUAGAGCAUGUCAGAAGUGCUAGAAGCAGGAGCUUUAGCAUGAGUGUACAGACCUGAAUUAUGCAACCUACUAGUGUUUACAUGUGACAUGUUGACAGAGGUUGACACUUGGUGAGUACCAUGUAGUUGUCAGCUGGCAUUAGGACUUGCAGUUCAUUCUGCAGUCAAAAUAAAGGAAGAAUGGCAAGGUCCAUAUUU
Molecule: long non-coding RNA, 532 nt
Filed under: Macaca mulatta (Rhesus monkey)
Lineage: Eukaryota; Metazoa; Chordata; Mammalia; Primates; Cercopithecidae
Description: lncRNA (ENSMMUG00000059886.1)
Source: RNAcentral